AUAAUGGGGUAUCUCUGGGGGAAGCUCCUGCUUUGGCAUCUCCUUUUUGUUUUGGCUAUACAAGGAUGGCAACUACGUGCCCUGAACUCGUGUGGGGGCAUUUCUGAGGUCACCAGCCAUCCCUGGGGGAAGUGAGUCAGCAAAAGCAAUAGGUCCAACAGUUAUUUAUCCAUUUAUCCAUUAUUUAUCCUGCAUUUCGAGCAGUGAAGACCAAGCCUUCUGCAAUAUGGCCGCUUCUGUAUUGGUUCAUCCAUUUCCAGGGGAAGUGAAACACAAAACGCCACUCUUUCUGCAGGAGAUCCUUUGUGUGGCUCAGACAGUGAAGAUGCAGAACAACUAGGUGGAGAUCACACAUCCUCCCCAACUCCUUCAAGUACGUAAGAUGUCCUCAAAGCCCACCCAGCGCCUCAUAAUCUGACCAUUCUUUCCAGUCUGACUGUCCCUUACACAGCUUGACAGAUGCAAACAAGAUUUCCCUACUGUUUGCACUUCCUUUUAUGAGUUAUUUACUUUUUUUUUAUCUGGAACCUGGAUUUGAAGUGCUCCUGUGCUCACAGUUUUGAUCCAAGGGAAUCCAGUGGCUGGCUGUUUGUAGCUUACUCACUGUUUAAACAAGCCCAUAGUUAGGCAAAGAGAACAACUAGCCUAGUUUACAGAGUUUAGUCUAUCCUACACUGACAGAAUUAUCUCUUUUUUAACAUGAUUAGGCCAAAAUUUACUGCAGUUACUGCAGUUGCCACAAUAGAACAGGCAAGGCCAAGACAGGUUAAAAUACUUCUGUAGGAAGUUUAAUGAUCUUUGAAAGCUGUUUGUCAUUCUUUCGUUCAGAGUCCAGUCCGAGGAUUACGUACUUAAAAAUCAGCCCUUGGGCUUCAGGCUUCACUUUUCCAUGCUGGUGACCAUCCUUGUCAUGUGGGUCCAGAAACAGAGACUUGAUAAACCUUUAGCCCAACAUUUCUUAUGGCUGAGACACCAGGAGAAGCAGAGCCCAGCAGGUGAUGGGGCAAUGAAAAAAGGGAUUUAACCUACACUUGAGUUCAAAAGGUACAGGGAGAGGUGAGGAACAGAACACAGGAAGGGCAGGAACAAAUGAGCCAAAGAACUACACAAAGAAGUACGAAUGAGACACCAAGCCAUUAUGAGUUGCUCCCUUGGUUUAUGACAGAAUGUGAUGAUUUAGGCCUUUAUCUUGAUUUCCUUGUUAUUUUGUCCUUCCGUCGGCUAUGACACUGAACCUGGACAGCAUUUAGGAUGAGCUCUGAGACACAGUUCAGGGCUGCUGCGGUCACUGAAGCUUUAAUUGAAAAUUGCUGAAACGUGGACACCUAGUGGAGACACCCCACUCUGACACUUCUCUUUCCAGUUGAAAUACAAUUUAAAAAUGGACUUUUA
Pipra filicauda (Wire-tailed manakin) is the source of this 1392-nucleotide long non-coding RNA. RefSeq lists it as uncharacterized. NCBI's taxonomy places the organism in Eukaryota, Metazoa, Chordata, Aves, Passeriformes, Pipridae. The transcript has 6 exons. The record is from RefSeq and is a predicted model, not a curated record.